Molecule: ribosomal RNA, 483 nt
Filed under: uncultured bacterium
Lineage: Bacteria
Description: bacterial SSU rRNA
Rfam family: Bacterial small subunit ribosomal RNA
Source: RNAcentral
CUAACACAUGCAAGUCGAACGAACCUUCGUUGAAGGCAAAUAGCUUGCUAGGAUCCUUCGAUAGAAGGUUAGUGGCGAACGGGUGAGUAAUACGUGGGUGACCUGCCCUGAAGAGAGGGAUAACCACUGGAAACGGUGGCUAAUACCUCAUGUGGUCGCAAGAAUUAGAGGUCUUGUGAGUAAAGCUCCGGCGCUUUGGGAGGGGCCCAUGGCCUACCAGCUAGUUGGUGGGGUAACGGCCUACCAAGGCUAUGACGGGUAGCUGGUAUGAGAGGACGAUCAGCCACACUGGCACUGAGACACGGGCCAGACUCCUACGGGAGGCAGCAGUGAGGAAUAUUGCCCAAUGGACGAAAGUAUGAGGCAGCAACGCCGCGUGAGCGAUGAAGGCCUUCGGGUUGUAAAGCUAUUUUAUGGGGGAAGAGGAAGGACGGGACCCCAGGAAUAAGCCUCGGCUAACGACGUGCCAGCAGCCGCGGUAAU